UACGGAGGGGGCUAGCGUUGUUCGGAAUUACUGGGCGUAAAGCGCACGUAGGCGGCUUUGUAAGUUAGAGGUGAAAGCCCAGGGCUCAACCCUGGAAUUGCCUUUAAGACUGCAUCGCUUGAACAUCGGAGAGGUAAGUGGAAUUCCGAGUGUAGAGGUGAAAUUCGUAGAUAUUCGGAAGAACACCAGUGGCGAAGGCGACUUACUGGACGAUUGUUGACGCUGAGACGCGAAAGCGUGGGGAGCAAACAGG
This 253-nucleotide ribosomal RNA is filed under the name uncultured bacterium. RNAcentral's name for it is "partial 16S ribosomal RNA". It matches the Rfam family "Bacterial small subunit ribosomal RNA", at positions 524 to 776 of the family's 1533-position model. The record is from RNAcentral.